This 429-nucleotide ribosomal RNA is filed under the name uncultured prokaryote. Its description in RNAcentral is "bacterial SSU rRNA". It matches the Rfam family "Bacterial small subunit ribosomal RNA", at positions 355 to 774 of the family's 1533-position model. The record is from RNAcentral.
UCUAGAAGCUUCGGCAAUGGGGGAAACCCUGACCGAGCGACGCCGCGUGCAGGACGAAGGUCUUCGGAUCGUAAACUGCUUUCGCUGGGGGAGAAAUGCCUCGGGGUGAAUAAUCUCGAGGCUAGACGGUACCCAGUAAAGAAGCUCCGGCUAAGUCCGUGCCAGCAGCCGCGGUAAUACGGGCGGAGCGAGCGUUGUUCGGAUUCAUUGGGUGUAAAGGGUGCGAAGGCGGUCGUCUAAGUCGGAGGUGAAAUGUCUACGGCUCAACCGAGGCAUUGCCUCCGAUACUGGACGACUUGAGUGCGGAAGGGGGGCGUGGAAUUCCUGGUGUAGCGGUGAAAUGCGUAGAUAUCAGGAGGAACACCGGUGGCGAAGGCGACGCUCUGGUCCACAACUGACGCUCAUGCACGAAAGCCAGGGGAGCGAAAG